CGGACGGGUGAGUAAUGUCUGGGAAACUGCCUGAUGGAGGGGGAGUAACUACUGGAAACGGUAGCUAAUACCGCAUAACGUCGCAAGACCAAAGAGGGGGACCUUCGGGCCUCCCUUGCCAUCGGAUGUGCCCAGAUGGGAUUAGCUAGUAGGUGGGGUAACGGGCUCACCUAGGCGACGAUCCCUAGCUGGUCUGAGAGGAUGACCAGCCACACUGGAACUGAGACACGGUCCAGACUCCUACGGGAGGCAGCAUG
Molecule: ribosomal RNA, 257 nt
Filed under: uncultured bacterium
Lineage: Bacteria
Description: partial 16S ribosomal RNA
Rfam family: Bacterial small subunit ribosomal RNA
Source: RNAcentral